UGGGGGAUAUUGCACAAUGGGCGAAAGCCUGAUGCAGCGACGCCGCGUGGGGGAUGAAGGCCUUCGGGUUGUAAACUUCUUUUGCUCUGAACAAGGCGCACCAUGGGGUGUGUUGAGUGUAGGGGUUGAUUAGCGCCGGCUAACUACGUGCCAGCAGCCGCGGUAAUACGUAGGGCGCGAGUGUUGUCCGGAAUUAUUUGGCGUAAAGGGCUUGUAGGUGGCUGGUUGCGUCUGUCGUGAAAGCUCAUGGCUUAACUGUGGGUUUGCGGUGGGUACGGGCUGGCUUGAGUGCAGUAGGGGAGGCUGGAAUUCCUGGUGUAGCGGUGGAAUGCGCAGAUAUCAGGAGGAAUACCGGUGGCGAAGGCGGGUCUCUGGGCUGUUACUGACCCUGAGGAGCGAAAGCAUGGGGGGCGAACAGG
RNAcentral lists this ribosomal RNA (419 nucleotides) under bacterium. RNAcentral describes it as "partial 16S ribosomal RNA". It matches the Rfam family "Bacterial small subunit ribosomal RNA", at positions 355 to 776 of the family's 1533-position model. The record is from RNAcentral.